AGUGCACGGUGACAGAAGAGGUUAUGUUUGUUAAAAUAUAACAUGACCGGAAUGAGAAAACCAAUCACGAUUCAAGGAGAAGUGAAACAGCUGACAUAAAUCAGAUCAGAUAAGUUAUUUUUAUUAAACGCUAAAUAUCAAAUGAAAAUAAAUGGUAGUUUGUGAAAAAUUUUGUAUUGGCUAUAGGUGAAGCAGAGGAACAUUAAUUACAACUGAAGGUCGGAAAACUGUUGUUACGAAGCAUAUUUUUCGUAAUUGCAAUUUAUAUUGAAUAUACAAGCGACAGUACCAUCGCUGAAGAUAAGUUAUAAAGGAUCAACGGUCGCACGAGCGUUGUUUCUCGAUGUAAGCCUAGAAUUUCAGUAUUGCACAACAAAUAGUUGGUAAUUAAAGAGAACGACUCGUAAUUUUUGUGAUUACCAUUUUCAAUUUAUUCAUUAUUUACACACGUUUAUCUGUGUCAACCUGGGAGCUACACGGAGUACCGUAAAUAUGCUAUUUUUAUAUAUAUAUAUAUAUUUAAACUAUACAUCAUACAUACUAUACAAACGGAUUAUUUACAAUGUUUACACGGUGUUUUUUUUACCUAUUCACAGAUUUUACAUCGAAACACGCCAUUAUCGAUAAGGCAUCUGUACAAAUAUACAACACGCAUUAAUUAGGCUUGGAGAAAUAAAUAGUAAUCCUUAAGCA
Long non-coding RNA from Orussus abietinus, 693 nucleotides. RefSeq lists it as uncharacterized. The record is from RefSeq and is a predicted model, not a curated record. NCBI's taxonomy places the organism in Eukaryota, Metazoa, Arthropoda, Insecta, Hymenoptera, Orussidae. The transcript has 2 exons.